RNAcentral lists this ribosomal RNA (848 nucleotides) under Salinicoccus roseus. RNAcentral's name for it is "bacterial SSU rRNA". It matches the Rfam family "Bacterial small subunit ribosomal RNA", at positions 64 to 920 of the family's 1533-position model. The record is from RNAcentral. Lineage: Bacteria; Bacillati; Bacillota; Bacilli; Caryophanales; Staphylococcaceae.
GAACGGUGAAGCAGAGCUUGCUCUGUGGAUCAGUGGCGAACGGGUGAGUAACACGUGAGCAACCUGCCCUGGACUCUGGGAUAAGCGCUGGAAACGGCGUCUAAUACUGGAUAUGAGAUGCGAUCGCAUGGUCGUGUUUGGAAAGAUUUUUCGGUCUGGGAUGGGCUCGCGGCCUAUCAGCUUGUUGGUGAGGUAAUGGCUCACCAAGGCGUCGACGGGUAGCCGGCCUGAGAGGGUGACCGGCCACACUGGGACUGAGACACGGCCCAGACUCCUACGGGAGGCAGCAGUGGGGAAUAUUGCACAAUGGGCGAAAGCCUGAUGCAGCAACGCCGCGUGAGGGAUGACGGCCUUCGGGUUGUAAACCUCUUUUGGUAGGGAAGAAGCCUUCGGGUGACGGUACCUGCAGAAAAAGCGCCGGCUAACUACGUGCCAGCAGCCGCGGUAAUACGUAGGGCGCAAGCGUUAUCCGGAAUUAUUGGGCGUAAAGAGCUCGUAGGCGGUCUGUCGCGUCUGCUGUGAAAUCCCGAGGCUCAACCUCGGGCUUGCAGUGGGUACGGGCAGACUAGAGUGCGGUAGGGGAGAUUGGAAUUCCUGGUGUAGCGGUGGAAUGCGCAGAUAUCAGGAGGAACACCGAUGGCGAAGGCAGAUCUCUGGGCCGUUACUGACGCUGAGGAGCGAAAGGGUGGGGAGCAAACAGGCUUAGAUACCCUGGUAGUCCACCCCGUAAACGUUGGGAACUAGUUGUGGGGUCCUUUCCACGGAUUCCGUGACGUAGCUAACGCAUUAAGUUCCCCGCCUGGGGAGUACGGCCGCAAGGCUAAAACUCAAAGGAAUUUGACGGGGAC